ACGGUCCUAAGGUAGCGAAAUUCCUUGUCGGGUAAGUUCCGACCUGCACGAAUGGCAUAAUGAUGGCCAGGCUGUCUCCACCCGAGACUCAGUGAAAUUGAAAUCGCCGUGAAGAUGCGGUGUACCCGCGGCUAGACGGAAAGACCCCGUGAACCUUUACUAUAGCUUGACACUGAACAUUGAAUUUUGAUGUGUAGGAUAGGUGGGAGACUUUGAAGUAGUCACGCCAGUGAUUAUGGAGUCGUCCUUGAAAUACCACCCUUUAACGUUUGAUGUUCUAACGAAGAUUACGAAACGUGGUCUCGGACAGUGUCUGGUGGGUAGUUUGACUGGGGCGGUCUCCUCCCAAAGAGUAACGGAGGAGCACGAAGGUUUGCUAAUGACGGUCGGACAUCGUCAGGUUAGUGCAAUGGUAUAAGCAAGCUUAACUGCGAGACAGACAAGUCGAGCAGGUACGAAAGUAGGUCAUAGUGAUCCGGUGGUUCUGAAUGGAAGGGCCAUCGCUCAACGGAUAAAAGGUACUCCGGGGAUAACAGGCUGAUACCGCCCAAGAGUUCAUAUCGACGGCGGUGUUUGGCACCUCGAUGUCGGCUCAUCUCAUCCUGGGGCUGUAGUCGGUCCCAAGGGUAUGGCUGUUCGCCAUUUAAAGAGGUACGUGAGCUGGGUUUAAAACGUCGUGAGACAGUUUGGUCCCUAUCUGCCGUGGGCGUUGGAAGAUUGACGGGGGCUGCUCCUAGUACGAGAGGACCGGAGUGGACGCACCUCUGGUGUACCGGUUGUCACGCCAGUGGCAUUGCCGGGUAGCUAAGUGCGGAAGAGAUAAGUGCUGAAAGCAUCUAAGCACGAAACUUGCCUUGAGAUGAGUUCUCCCAGAUUAUAAAUCUGUAAGGGUUGUUUAAGACUAAGACGUAGAUAGGUCUGGUGUGUAAGCGGUGCGAGCCGUUGAGCUAACAGAUACUAAUUGCCCGAGAGGCUUAACUAU
This 982-nucleotide ribosomal RNA is filed under the name human gut metagenome. Its description in RNAcentral is "bacterial LSU rRNA". It matches the Rfam family "Bacterial large subunit ribosomal RNA", at positions 1945 to 2925 of the family's 2925-position model. The record is from RNAcentral.